ACUUUUUGGCAUCGACCUGAUUUACGUAAUACCUAUGUAUUGAAUUAUAUGGCAAUAAGAUUUCAACUAUUCAUGCGAAAACACACCACAGUAAGAUAUGAUUUUUUCAAAAGCACAGGGAAUUUUUAUAGUAUUUAUUGUUUGUCUUAAAUCAUUUGUUGAAGGUGAUAACAAAUAUUGGUAUAAUACAUACCCUGGUGGUAGGGAGCAUACGACUUCUGCAGACGAGAAAGCUAUAACGUAUGCCUUAACAAUUGUGGGAGUUGGCUGUAUUCCUGUAGUAACAAUUGUAAUUGUAUGUAUGAUACUCGAGCUAUGCAACAGGAGAAGAUAGAGUCAAGCAAGACUUUGAAUAUAGAGGAAAUCUCCAAUACCAUAACACCGGAUUAUGAAAUGGUUAUUCAUCCAUCACAAGUAAUAUUGAUGCAACUAGGUGAUUGGCAUAGAACCGAAUCAAAGCAUAACUAAUCUGAAUUCAAUGUUCGUUUGUUCACUUUUGUGGCUGAUAAAAAUUAAGAAUGUUCAGUCAUUUUAUAGUUUCAUUAUCAUUAAGCAUAAGGGAUGCUAUGUUGCAAUUAACGUAUUGACGUAUUUAUUAUUCUUAUUGGUAGAUGUAAACAUUGACACAUGUGAUGCUGAGGGAAUACUUUUGAAGGAAUUGUAUAUCUCACCUCUAUCACACAUAAAACGUUCUAAAACGUCCACGAUGGUAUACUGGUGAUUAUUUAUAUAAAGAUAAGGAGAUGUGGUAUGAUUGUCAAUGAGACAAAUAUCGACCAGAGUCAAAAUGAAGUAGUUGUAAGCAAUUAUAGCCAACCGCGCGGCCUUCAACGAUGCGAAAAACUCAUACCGUAUAGUAGGUAGGCUAUAAAAUGGCCCGUCAUGACAAAUGUGAAACAAUUCAAAUGAAAAACUAACAGGAUAAUUUAUAACAAAACAAUUUACUAAAAACAAUUAUGGUAGACAUAAACCAACGACACCCCCAGGCCUGUACUACUGGUUUUUGAACAUACAACUAGUUUAUUAGUAAACAAAGUUAUUCAAAAGUACUGUAAACAGAGAAUCAAACAUAGGGGUAAUAAAAAAAAAUAAGUUAAAAAAAAAGCAGAUAGCACCCUUACCAAAACGAAAAGCAACGAAAAUAUCAACAACAAUAAUAAAAGAUCGCACACACAAAAUAGUAACACCAAUCCCUGAAAUCGGGGGUGAAACCUGGUGUUCGGAAAUUAGUGUUAGCAGUUUCUGCUCCACCUAUUGCAUCCAUCGUGUUACUCAUUGGAUGUAAAAGUGAUUAAAAGGUGUAUUUGGUAGAUUAAUAUUCGCGGAGAGAUAACAGGUGUGUUGUAAUGAACUCUGACACAUAUCAGGGAUCACCAAUUUUUGUUACCUAUUGUGUCUAUUUAUUUUGCUCACAUUACACCACUAUGUACUAUAUAGAUAUGCUAUGGGAAUAUAUAUAUAUAUAUAAUAUAGAUCAAGCCAAGUAUAUAGACCGAUAUGAAAGACUAUUGUUGUUUCGUUUUAAUUUCGUAUUAUUCAAAAGCAUUUUUUUUAUAUUAAAAUCAUUCAACAUAUAAUUUGUUUAGUAUUUAUAUAUUUUCUUUUCAUGUUUUGUUUGUACCACAUUCUUUUUAUUUAUUUAUUUAAAAAAGCACACAAACAGUGACCAGAAUGACGAAUAACAAAACAAUAAAAUCAAGUGUACACUCUU
Mytilus californianus (California mussel) is the source of this 1711-nucleotide long non-coding RNA. RefSeq lists it as uncharacterized. The transcript is spliced from 4 exons. The record is from RefSeq and is a predicted model, not a curated record. Lineage: Eukaryota; Metazoa; Mollusca; Bivalvia; Mytilida; Mytilidae.